UCACCAUCGCGACUGUAUCGGUCGAACCUGGUCAGGGCCGGAAGGCAGCAGCCAUAAGAUUUGGUGCAGGGUGCGAUGGCUUUUU
This 85-nucleotide signal recognition particle RNA is filed under the name Candidatus Enterosoma merdigallinarum. RNAcentral's name for it is "signal recognition particle sRNA small type". It matches the Rfam family "Bacterial small signal recognition particle RNA". Rfam says of the family: The signal recognition particle (SRP) is a universally conserved ribonucleoprotein involved in the co-translational targeting of proteins to membranes. Archaeal SRP consists of a 7S RNA and homologues of the eukaryotic SRP19 and SRP54 proteins. Lineage: Bacteria; Bacillati; Bacillota; Bacilli; Caryophanales. The record is from RNAcentral.